UACGUAGGUGGCAAGCGUUGUCCGGAUUUAUUGGGCGUAAAGAGCGCGCAGGCGGUCGAUCAAGUCGCGUGUGAAAGCCCCCGGCUCAACUGGGGAGGGUCACGCGAUACUGAUCGACUCGAAGGCAGGAGAGGGUAGUGGAAUUCCCGGUGUAGUGGUGAAAUGCGUAGAUAUCGGGAGGAACACCAGUGGCGAAGGCGACUACCUGGCCUGUUCUUGACGCUGAGGCGCGAAAGCUAGGGGAGCAAACGGG
This 253-nucleotide ribosomal RNA is filed under the name uncultured bacterium. RNAcentral's name for it is "partial 16S ribosomal RNA". It matches the Rfam family "Bacterial small subunit ribosomal RNA", at positions 524 to 776 of the family's 1533-position model. The record is from RNAcentral.